Molecule: ribosomal RNA, 532 nt
Filed under: Scutellaria laeteviolacea var. yakusimensis
Lineage: Eukaryota; Viridiplantae; Streptophyta; Magnoliopsida; Lamiales; Lamiaceae
Description: partial 18S rRNA
Rfam family: 5.8S ribosomal RNA (bases 209-364)
Source: RNAcentral
GUCGAAACCUGCGAAAGCAGACCCGCGAACACGUGUCUUUACGACCAAAACAACGCCCGCGUGGCCGGCGCGAGAGCGUCGCAACCCGCGGGCUAACGAACCCGGGCGCGGAACGCGCCAAGGAAAACCGAAAUGAAGCGUCCCCACCCCGUGCGUCCCGUCCGCGGAUCGCGCGCGGGGUGGUCGGACGUCUAUCGAAUGUCAUAACGACUCUCGGCAACGGAUAUCUCGGCACUCGCAUCGAUGAAGAACGUAGCGAAAUGCGAUACUUGGUGUGAAUUGCAGAAUCCCGUGAACCAUCGAGUCUUUGAACGCAAGUUGCGCCCGAAGCCAUCAGGCCGAGGGCACGUCUGCCUGGGCGUCACGCAUCGCGUCGCCCCCCACACGCAUCGCCUCGAGCGAUGCCGUUGUCGGGGGGCGGAGAUUGGCCUCCCGUGCGCCCCGGUGCGCGGCCGGCCCAAAUGCGAUCCCCCGGCGACGCACGCCCCGACAAGUGGUGGUUGAGCUAUCAACUCGCGUGCUGUCGUGUGCC